UAAAUGCUGGAAACCAGAAGCAAAACUCUAGCCCGGAGAAAUCAGACCACCACAAAUUAUCAUUCACUUCUCUGAUCAUGUUGUGUUAAAUGUACUAGUAAGUGGGCCACUAUUUACAACC
This is a long non-coding RNA of Amblyraja radiata (thorny skate), 121 nucleotides long. RefSeq lists it as uncharacterized. NCBI's taxonomy places the organism in Eukaryota, Metazoa, Chordata, Chondrichthyes, Rajiformes, Rajidae. The record is from RefSeq and is a predicted model, not a curated record. The transcript has 3 exons.